CUAGUGAAUAAGGGGUGGGCAAGUUCUGGUGUCAGCCGCCGCGGUAAAACCAGCACCUCAAGUGGUCAGGAUGACUAUUGGGCCUAAAGCAUCCGUAGCCGGCUCUGUAAGUUUUCGGUUAAAUCUGUACGCUCAACGUACAGGCUGCCGGGAAUACUGCAGAGCUAGGGAGUGGGAGAGGUAGACGGUACUCGGUAGGAAGGGGUAAGAUCCUUUGAUCUAUUGAUGACCACCUGUGGCGAAGGCGGUCUACCAGAACACGUCCGACGGUGAGGGAUGAAAGCUGGGGGAGCAAACCGGAUUAGAUACCCGGGUAGUCCCAGCUGUAAACUAUGCAAACUCAGUGAUGCAUUGGCUUGUGGCCAAUGCAGUGCUGCAGGGAAGCCGUUAAGUUUGCCGCCUGGGAAGUACGUACGCAAGUAUGAAACUUAAAGGAAUUGGCGGGGGAGCACCACAAGGG
This 460-nucleotide ribosomal RNA is filed under the name uncultured marine group I thaumarchaeote. RNAcentral's name for it is "bacterial SSU rRNA". It matches the Rfam family "Archaeal small subunit ribosomal RNA", at positions 428 to 887 of the family's 1478-position model. Lineage: Archaea; Thermoproteati; Nitrososphaerota. The record is from RNAcentral.